Molecule: long non-coding RNA, 598 nt
Organism: Gossypium raimondii (Peruvian cotton)
Lineage: Eukaryota; Viridiplantae; Streptophyta; Magnoliopsida; Malvales; Malvaceae
Exons: 4
Source: RefSeq, a predicted model, not a curated record
GUUUAACAUAUUAAAAUUAAAGCAUUAUUUCUCCAUCUUUUGGCCGAAACUAAGAACAAAGAAGAUUGUUUAAAAGCUUUAGUAUAUUCGGCACUUGCAAGCUUGAUUGAGAUCAAGAAUUAAAGAAAUCGAAUUUGGAUCGGGGAAAGACAAAAGUGGUCGAGUAGCCGAUUUAGCAGUCGACGACAUCCGAGUAACCGCAAUAGCGUCCGUUAUGUCCGCGACCGCAACAAACGCGACGCGACCGAAAACGCGACCGCGACCGUAAUUUAAAUCCCUGGCUAUGAAAUUAAGAUUUUGGAAGUUGGUUACGAGCUCGGGGAUCGUCAGAGAAGAUUAUCACACUAUCGACUCCUCUCGGUAUUUUGUAAAUUUUGAAUUCGAUCUUAUGGCAUGUAUAGCGUAGCUGAAAUGCUUGAAUUUAGAUUAUGUAAUAUUAAGCCAUGCGAAAAUGGCUUAAUUUUCUUGUUUGUGUUCGGUUUUGGGCUGAAUUACGGUUUAAGCAUACUUUAAUCAUGGAUUAGUAUUUUAUGGUUAGUAUUUAUAUGGUAAUGUAUAUAUAUAUGUGCAUGGUGAUUUCAUUCAAGUGUUUCGGUAA